CGUUGAGGUUUGUUACCUUCUUGUGGGGGUGGUCCUUGUGGCUUUCCUGGACGAGGUGGGGGACCUUGAGGUUUGUUGCCUCCUUGUGGGGGUGGUCCUUCUGGCUUUCCUGGACGAGGUGGGGGACCUUGGGACUGGUUGCCUCCUUGUGGGGGUCGUCCUUCUGGCUUUCCUGGAGGAGGUGGGGUACGUUGGGGCUGGUUUCCUCCUUGUGGGCGUCGUCCUUCUGGCUUUCCUGGAGGAGGUGGGGGACGUUGGGGCUGGUUUCCUCCUUGUGGGCGUCGUCCUUCUGGCUUUCCUGGAGGAGGUGGGGGACCUUGGGGCUGGUUGCCUCCUUGUGGGGGUGGUCCUUGUGGCUUUCCUGGAGGAGAUUGGGAACUUCGGGACUUGUCUCCUUGUGGGGGUGGUCCUUGUGGCUUUCCUGGAGGUGGG
Molecule: long non-coding RNA, 432 nt
Filed under: Homo sapiens (human)
Lineage: Eukaryota; Metazoa; Chordata; Mammalia; Primates; Hominidae
Description: HSALNT0366785
Source: RNAcentral